ACGGAGGGGGCGAGCGUUAUUCGGAAUUAUUGGGCGUAAAGGGCGCGUAGGCGGUCUGAUAAGUCAGGGGUGCAAUCCCUCGGCUCAACCGAGGAACUGCCUCUGAAACUGUCAGACUUGAGGCCGGGAGAGGGUAGCGGAAUUCCCAGUGUAGCGGUGAAAUGCGUAGAUAUUGGGAGGAACACCAGUGGCGAAGGCGGCUACCUGGACCGGUUCUGACGCUGAGGCGCGAAAGUGUGGGUAGCAAACAGG
RNAcentral lists this ribosomal RNA (252 nucleotides) under uncultured bacterium. RNAcentral's name for it is "partial 16S ribosomal RNA". It matches the Rfam family "Bacterial small subunit ribosomal RNA", at positions 525 to 776 of the family's 1533-position model. The record is from RNAcentral.